This 628-nucleotide ribosomal RNA is filed under the name Escherichia coli. Its description in RNAcentral is "partial 23S ribosomal RNA". It matches the Rfam family "Bacterial large subunit ribosomal RNA", at positions 1 to 673 of the family's 2925-position model. The record is from RNAcentral. Lineage: Bacteria; Pseudomonadati; Pseudomonadota; Gammaproteobacteria; Enterobacterales; Enterobacteriaceae.
GUUAAGCGACUAAGCGUACACGGUGGAUGCCCUGGCAGUCAGAGGCGAUGAAGGACGUGCUAAUCUGCGAUAAGCGUCGGUGAGGUGAUAUGAACCGUUAUAACCGGCGAUUUCCGAAUGGGGAAACCCAGUGUGUUUCGACACACUAUCAUUAACUGAAUCCAUAGGUUAAUGAGGCGAACCGGGGGAACUGAAACAUCUAAGUACCCCGAGGAAAAGAAAUCAACCGAGAUUCCCCCAGUAGCGGCGAGCGAACGGGGAGGAGCCCAGAGCCUGAAUCAGUGUGUGUGUUAGUGGAAGCGUCUGGAAAGGCGCGCGAUACAGGGUGACAGCCCCGUACACAAAAAUGCACACAUUGUGAGCUCGAUGAGUAGGGCGGGACACGUGGUAUCCUGUCUGAAUAUGGGGGGACCAUCCUCCAAGGCUAAAUACUCCUGACUGACCGAUAGUGAACCAGUACCGUGAGGGAAAGGCGAAAAGAACCCCGGCGAGGGGAGUGAAAAAGAACCUGAAACCGUGUACGUACAAGCAGUGGGAGCCUCUUAAUGGGGUGACUGCGUACCUUUUGUAUAAUGGGUCAGCGACUUAUAUUCUGUAGCAAGGUUAACCGAAUAGGGGAGCCGAAGGG